GGCAAAGUGGCUGAGUAAGUGGCGGGUUGUAGCCCCGAGCACAGGGGUGUUAGUCCCCUCUUUGUCA
RNAcentral lists this transfer RNA (67 nucleotides) under Synapturanus sp. MZUSP 159223. RNAcentral describes it as "tRNA-Tyr". It matches the Rfam family "tRNA". From Rfam's summary of the family: Transfer RNA (tRNA) molecules are approximately 80 nucleotides in length. Their secondary structure includes four short double-helical elements and three loops (D, anti-codon, and T loops). The record is from RNAcentral. Lineage: Eukaryota; Metazoa; Chordata; Amphibia; Anura; Microhylidae.